Molecule: ribosomal RNA, 98 nt
Filed under: Ctenophora environmental sample
Lineage: Eukaryota; Metazoa; Ctenophora
Description: partial Eukaryotic small subunit ribosomal RNA
Source: RNAcentral
GCGCAAAUUACCCAAUCCUGACUAAGGGAGGUAGUACUUAUUCACUAUGUAAUAUGUUCUGCAAUUACUAUUCCGUAUUUUUAAAAUAUUAAAAUUUA